Molecule: ribosomal RNA, 373 nt
Filed under: uncultured organism
Description: partial 16S ribosomal RNA
Rfam family: Bacterial small subunit ribosomal RNA
Source: RNAcentral
GUAGGUGGCAAGCGUUGUCCGGAAUUAUUGGGCGUAAAGCGCGCGCAGGCGGUUCUUUAAGUCUGAUGUGAAAGCCCACGGCUCAACCGUGGAGGGUCAUUGGAAACUGGAGAACUUGAGUACAGAAGAGGAAAGCGGAAUUCCACGUGUAGCGGUGAAAUGCGUAGAGAUGUGGAGGAACACCAGUGGCGAAGGCGGCUUUCUGGUCUGUAACUGACGCUGAGGCGCGAAAGCGUGGGGAGCAAACAGGGAUUAGAUACCCUGGUAGUCCACGCCGUAAACGGUGAGUGCUAAGUGUUAGGGGGUUUCCCGCCCCUUAGUGCUGCAGCUAACGCAUUAAGCACUCCGCCUGGGGAGUACGGCCGCAAGGCUG